Molecule: unclassified non-coding RNA, 337 nt
Filed under: soil metagenome
Description: partial contains 5.8S ribosomal RNA, internal transcribed spacer 2, and large subunit ribosomal RNA
Rfam family: 5.8S ribosomal RNA (bases 1-120)
Source: RNAcentral
GAUGAAGAACGUAGCGAAAUGCGAUAAGUAGUGGGAAUUGCAGAAUUCAGUGAAUCAUCGAAUCUUUGAACGCACAUUGCGCCCCAUGGUAUUCCGUGGGGCAUGCCUGUUCGAGCGUCAUUUACCCCCUCAAGCUCCGCUUGGUGUUGGGCGUCUGUCCCGCUUCGCGCGCGGACUCGCCCCAAAGGUAUUGGCAGCGGUCGUGCCAGCUUCUCGCGCAGCACAUUGCGCUUCUCGAGGCACCGGUGGGCCCGCGUCCAUCAAGCUCCCCCCCCCAGUUUGACCUCGGAUCAGGUAGGGAUACCCGCUGAACUUAAGCAUAUCAAUAAGCGGAGGA